RNAcentral lists this unclassified non-coding RNA (189 nucleotides) under Sympodiomycopsis paphiopedili. Its description in RNAcentral is "ITS1". Lineage: Eukaryota; Fungi; Basidiomycota; Exobasidiomycetes; Microstromatales. The record is from RNAcentral.
GUGAAUUAUCGAGAUACCACUCUGUGGAUCUCAAACCUCACCUAUAUCCACAAACACCUGUGCACUGUUGGUCAGAUGGAGCGAUGUCGACUUCGGUUGACAGAGCUUUUCAUCUGCCAGCGCAUUUAUACCAAACUCUGAGUUAAUUGAAUGUGAAGUUAUACUUGCCUAUUUUGGCAGAAUUAAACA